Molecule: long non-coding RNA, 155 nt
Organism: Melitaea cinxia (Glanville fritillary)
Lineage: Eukaryota; Metazoa; Arthropoda; Insecta; Lepidoptera; Nymphalidae
Exons: 2
Source: RefSeq, a predicted model, not a curated record
UUAUGACUGUGCCUCAACUAAAAGCCGAGCUUCGUAAAAGAAAUGCAACAACUGCCGGUAAAAAAGCUGAUUUGAUUGAAAGAUUACGAACGUAUGAUCAAAACCAAAAUUUUUGUGCUGACUGCGACAUCCAAGAGGACCCUGCAUACGUAUGU